RNAcentral lists this ribosomal RNA (427 nucleotides) under uncultured bacterium. RNAcentral describes it as "bacterial SSU rRNA". It matches the Rfam family "Bacterial small subunit ribosomal RNA", at positions 355 to 775 of the family's 1533-position model. The record is from RNAcentral.
UCGAGAAUUUUUCUCAAUGGGCGAAAGCCUGAAGGAGCGACGCCGCGUGGGGGAUGAAGGGCUUCGGCCUGUAAACCCCUGUCAUUUGCGAACAAACCUUACGACCUAACACGUCGUGAGCUGAUUGUAGCGAAAGAGGAAGGGACGGCUAACUCUGUGCCAGCAGCCGCGGUAAUACAGAGGUCCCAAGCGUUGUUCGGAUUCACUGGGCGUAAAGGGUGCGUAGGUGGCGGGGUAAGUCUGAUGUGAAAUCUCCGAGCUUAACUCGGAAAUGGCAUUGGAUACUACUUUGCUAGAGGAUUGGAGGGGAGACUGGAAUUCUUGGUGUAGCAGUGAAAUGCGUAGAUAUCAAGAGGAACACCAGUGGCGAAAGCGAGUCUCUGGACAAUUCCUGACACUGAGGCACGAAAGCUAGGGGAGCAAACAG